Molecule: ribosomal RNA, 440 nt
Filed under: uncultured bacterium
Lineage: Bacteria
Description: partial 16S ribosomal RNA
Rfam family: Bacterial small subunit ribosomal RNA
Source: RNAcentral
CCUACGGGAGGCUGCAGUAGGGAAUAUUGCUCAAUGGGGGAAACCCUGAAGCAGCAACGCCGCGUGGAGGAUGAAGGUUUUCGGAUUGUAAACUCCUUUUGUUAGAGAAGAUAAUGACGGUAUCUAACGAAUAAGCACCGGCUAACUCCGUGCCAGCAGCCGCGGUAAUACGGAGGGUGCAAGCGUUACUCGGAAUCACUGGGCGUAAAGAGCGCGUAGGCGGGAUAGCAAGUCAGAUGUGAAAUCCUAUGGCUUAACCAUAGAACUGCAUUUGAAACUGUUAUUCUAGAGAAUGGGAGAGGUAGGUGGAAUGCUUGGUGUAGGGGUAAAAUCCGUAGAGAUCAAGAGGAAUACUCAUUGCGAAGGCGACCUGCUAGAACAUAACUGACGCUGAUGCGCGAAAGCGUGGGGAGCAAACAGGAUUAGAUACCCCGGUAGUC